RNAcentral lists this long non-coding RNA (504 nucleotides) under Homo sapiens (human). RNAcentral describes it as "HSALNT0404578". The record is from RNAcentral. Lineage: Eukaryota; Metazoa; Chordata; Mammalia; Primates; Hominidae.
GAUGAGGAAAUGGCGACCGCAGAAGGAAAUGUAGCAGCACCGGCAACCGGCAUCCGUGGGGCCACGCCGGGCUGCUUCCCAGGGCCCUCCAGCCAAGCAGCCACAGGAAAGAGUAGAUGUUGAUCCCAAGCUAGGACUGAGGAGUCCGUCCCUAAGAGCCGAGGGAGUCAGACCUGCGUGCUCUGAGGCUGCCCGACCCUGAGCUCCAGAACAGACCAUCGAGUUCAGGAGACAAGCAUGUCAGCCAUGACACAAGGCAGAUGAGAGGGACCCCCAGCGUCCACACGUGGAGGCAGCGGGGGCAGCCGUGACUUCCUUCUGCAGUGUUGAUUCAGCUCCCUUUGAAGGCGGAUCCAUACAAACAGGCUGACCAUCAGGGCUGGUCCCAGGCCACCAGGCUGGGUGCAAUGCAGAAAUGGAGAUCUGCCCCGGGGAAGGCAGGUGAGUGUAGGAAGGAGGGAGGGCUGCGAGAAGCUGGGGGCAGCCUCCAUCCCCCUGUGGCCU